GAUAAACGCUGGCGGCGUGCCUUAUGCAUGCAAGUCGAACGGUCUCGAUUUAUCGAGAUAGUGGCGAACGGGUGAGUAACGCGUAAGUAACCUGCCCCUAAGUAAGGGAUAACUCUGAGAAAUUAGAGCUAAUACCGUAGUGGUGGUGGAGGUAAUGCUUCAUCACUAAAGCUUUAGGGCGCUUAGGGAGGGACUUGCGUCCGAUUAGCUAGUUGGUAGGGUAAUGGUCUACCAAGGCGAUGAUCGGUAGCUGGUUUGAGAGGACAUCCAGCCACACUGGGAUUGAGAUACGGCCCAGACUCCUACGGGAGGCAGCAGCAAGGAAUUUUGUGCAAUGGGCGAAAGCCUGACACAGCGACACCGCGUGGGGGAUGACAGCCUUCGGGUUGUAAACCCCUUUUAUUAGGGAAGAAUAAUGACGGUACCUAAUGAAUAAGCAUCGGCUAACUACGUGCCAGCAGCCGCGGUAAUACGUAGGAUGCAAGCGUUAUCCGGAUUUACUGGGCGUAAAGAGGGCGUAGGCGGCUUUUCAAGUCGGAUGUAAAAUCUCCCAGCUCAACUGGGAGGGACCAUUCGAUACUGCUAAGCUAGAGUGCAGCAGGGGGAGACGGAAUUCCCGGAGUAGUGGUGAAAUGCGUAGAUAUCGGGAGGAACACCAGUGGCGAAGGCGGUCUCCUAGGCUGUUACUGACGCUGAGGCCCAAAAGCGUGGGGAGCGAACAGGAUCAGAUACCCUGGUAGUCCACGCCGUAAACAAUGGACACUAGGUAUAGGGAGUAUCGACCCUCUCUGUGCCGUAGCUAACGCGUUAAGUGUCCCGCCUGGGGAGACGGCCGCAAGGCU
Molecule: ribosomal RNA, 842 nt
Filed under: uncultured Chloroflexota bacterium
Lineage: Bacteria; Bacillati; Chloroflexota
Description: bacterial SSU rRNA
Rfam family: Bacterial small subunit ribosomal RNA
Source: RNAcentral